Molecule: ribosomal RNA, 477 nt
Filed under: Peripatidae gen. 1 OYHL-2019 sp. OHL130
Lineage: Eukaryota; Metazoa; Onychophora; Udeonychophora; Euonychophora; Peripatidae
Description: partial small subunit ribosomal RNA
Source: RNAcentral
CCAGCAGCAGCGGUUAUACGUUAUUAUAAAUUAAUUUAUACUGAAUAAAUACAUUUAAUAUAUUUUUAUAAAAAAUGAAAUUUCUAAUAAAAAUAAUACAAAAAUCACUCUACUUAAAAGCCUAAAACCAGGAUUAGAUACCCUGCUAUUCUUACCUUUACAAUAAUUCAAAGAAAAAAAACAAAAUAAAUUUGACGGUAUUAACUUUUACAAAGGAAUUUGUUUCUUAAUCGACAAUCCACGAAUUACCUUACUUAGCAAAUAUUUGUAUACCACUGUAAAGAAAUUAUCCAAAAUAAAUUUCAAAAGAGAAAAAACUAAAAAAUCAAGUCAUGGUGCAAUUUAACUAAGAUGAAAUGAAUUACAUUUAUUUAUAUAAAAUAUGUAAGAUGAAAACUCCUAUAAAAAUAGAAUUUGUCAGUAAAAUUUUAUCAUUAUGACAAUUUGAAAACUAACAUUAAUAUGUACAUAUCGCCC